AUGGAGAAAAUUCUACAUGCGUCUCUCAUGCAGGCUUUUAUCUUUUCAUUUUUCUUCUUUAAAGGGUCCUUUAUAAAUGUGAAGCAGUACUGUGAAGGGCUCUCGAAGCGCACUGCCUCCAUUUCAGAACAUCUUUCCUUAACCACAACUUUAAGACCUCACGUCAGAGACCCUGGGCUUCGGGUAAUUGUGCUGGGCCCGAGCAGAGGGAUGUGUGGCAGCCUGAGAGACAGCCUUUUGGGUUACAGUGCAGGAGCUCUAGCCCCUGAUAUCGAGAGCACUACCUGGAGAGCAAAGGUAGACGGGAGAGAAGUGACUGUUGUUGAAACUCCUGAUCUCUUUGGUACGUCUCUGAGUGUAAAACUGCAAGCACAAGAAGCCCUACGAAGCCUCCAGCUGACCUCACCUGGUCCUCAUGCUCUUCUGCUUGUGCUUCCAACAACUUACUUGGAUAAGGUUUAUCAAAACAGUGCACAGAGCUUCUUCUUAAGGUUGCUUCAUUUACUGGGUGAAGAAGCAGCGAAGUAUGUGCUGGUGGUUUUCACUUGUGUAAAUCUACGGGGGGGCUUCUCCUCUCUGGAGCAGCUUCUGGAAGAAGACUAUCUAGGAAUAAAGGCCGCUCUGCCUCUGUGUGGGGACAGAGUGGAUUUGGUUAACAUCAGUCCGGGUCGCUCUAUAGAAAGCAGGAUGGUUGAGGGCAGAAGGCUGCUGGACAGAGUAGCGAACAUGAGAACGCAGCAGGGUCACUUCAUUCACGAGUUCCAACAGCAGGAAGAUCAGAUCAGGACCAGUGUUGGGAGUAACGGCGUUAAAACUAACGGCGUUACUAACGCCGUUACUUUUUUUCAGUAACGAGUAAUCUAACUAAUUACUAUGACUGUAACUAUAACGCCGUUACCAUUUCCGACACCCCGUUACUGCACGUUACUUUAGCAGCUCUAUGAACUUUUUUUUUUUAUUUCGCUUUGCCCUGGUUAACCCCUCCUCUGUCCGGUGAACUUGAGCUUCUGGCCGCUGUGCCUGUGGUUUGGCGUGGUGAAGUGAGGCACAAUUGUGACGAUUUGCGUGCUCUAAUCAAUUCAGUGAUUGCCGUGGACAGCCCAAGUUCCGAAUUAAGGACGUUAAGCUCUUUUUAGCUGCUCCGGUUUUUGUGGUGCUGCUGCUUUCUAUUUUAGAGCUUAGAUUCUCUGCCCGAAUCCCACCUGACCUGAGGACCGACCCGAAAUCAGGCUCCUAUUUUUAUUUUAUAUAAAGCUCUGGUGUGAUAAUCACAAUGUUGCUAAGUAACCAAUUAUUAUUGUUCACUAAAGCGAACGAAAUAGCGAAAAUUGAAAGUGAAAAACAUUUGUGUUAACUGAAUCUAAUAAAAACGGUAAUUAAAAGGAAAAACA
This 1391-nucleotide long non-coding RNA is filed under the name Astyanax mexicanus (Mexican tetra). Its description in RNAcentral is "lncRNA (ENSAMXG00005008875.1)". Lineage: Eukaryota; Metazoa; Chordata; Actinopteri; Characiformes; Acestrorhamphidae. The record is from RNAcentral.